Molecule: ribosomal RNA, 494 nt
Filed under: uncultured bacterium
Lineage: Bacteria
Description: bacterial SSU rRNA
Rfam family: Bacterial small subunit ribosomal RNA
Source: RNAcentral
GAUCAUGGCUCAGAUUGAACGCUGGCGGAAUGCUUUACACAUGCAAGUCGAACGGUAGAGGGGGCAACCCUUGAGAGUGGCGAACGGGUGAGUAAUAUAUCGGAACGUGCCCAGUCGUGGGGGAUAACGUAGCGAAAGUUACGCUAAUACCGCAUACGAUCUACGGAUGAAAGCGGGGGACUCGCAAGAGCCUCGCGCGAUUGGAGCGGCCGAUAUCAGAUUAGGUAGUUGGUGGGGUAAAGGCUCACCAAGCCAACGAUCUGUAGCUGGUCUGGGAGGACGACCAGCCACACUGGAACUGAGACACGGUCCAGACUCCUACGGGAGGCAGCAGUGGGGAAUUUUGGACAAUGGACGCAAGUCUGAUCCAGCCAUUCCGCGUGCAGGAUGAAGGCCCUCGGGUUGUAAACUGCUUUUGUACGGAACGAAAAGGUCUCUCUUAAUACGGGAGGCUCAUGACGGUACCGUAAGAAUAAGCACCGGCUAACUACGUG